UACGUAGGUGGCAAGCGUUGUCCGGAUUUACUGGGCGUAAAGAGCGCGCAGGCGGUCGUUCAAGUCGCGUGUGAAAGCCCCCGGCUCAACUGGGGAGGGUCACGCGAUACUGAUCGACUCGAAGGCAGGAGAGGGUAGUGGAAUUCCCGGUGUAGUGGUGAAAUGCGUAGAUAUUAGGAAGAACACCAGUGGCGAAGGCGGCUCACUGGCCCGGUACUGACGCUGAGGCGCGAAAGCGUGGGGAGCAAACAGG
This 253-nucleotide ribosomal RNA is filed under the name uncultured bacterium. Its description in RNAcentral is "partial 16S ribosomal RNA". It matches the Rfam family "Bacterial small subunit ribosomal RNA", at positions 524 to 776 of the family's 1533-position model. The record is from RNAcentral.